GACGAACGCUGGCGGUGUGCUUAACACAUGCAAGUCGAACGGUAAGGCCCUUUCGGGGGUACCCGAGUGGCGAACGGGUGAGUAACACGUGAGUAACCUGCCCUCAUCUCUGGGAUAACAGUCGGAAACGGUUGCUAAUACUGGAUAUGAGCUUGCAAGGCAUCUUGUGGGUUGGAAAGAUUUUUUUUGGUUGGGGAUGGACUCGCGGCCUAUCAGCUUGUUGGUGAGGUAGUGGCUCACCAAGGCUUCGACGGGUAGCCGGCCUGAGAGGGCGACCGGCCACAUUGGGAAUGAGAUACGGCCCAAACUCCUACGGGAGGCAGCAGUGGGGAAUAUUGCACAAUGGACGGAAGUCUGAUGCAGCAACGCCGCGUGCGGGAUGACGGCCUUCGGGUUGUAAACCGCUUUCAAUUGUGACGAAGCUUUUUUGUGACGGUAGCAGUAGAAGAAGCACCGGCUAACUACGUG
RNAcentral lists this ribosomal RNA (468 nucleotides) under uncultured bacterium. Its description in RNAcentral is "partial 16S ribosomal RNA". It matches the Rfam family "Bacterial small subunit ribosomal RNA", at positions 28 to 507 of the family's 1533-position model. The record is from RNAcentral.